GUCGGCGCACUAGUGGCGUCACCGUUAUCGAAUAAACGCGCGGCGCUCGAUGUCAUACUCGAUCGCCAUUUUGUUGAAGUGAACCAAGUUGUAAUACUUUCUAUUCGAUAGACAUUUAUAAUCGUUUUCGUUUCAAUAAUCAUCGGCAUUUCGGCGGCAAAUUGACUAUUAUAAAUCGAUAUCAAAAUGAAGAGAUGUUCAUCUGCUGUGUGGCGAUUUUUCGAACGCAUUGAAGAAAACAAUAGAUGUACUGCAAUAGUGUGUAAAUUAUGUGAAAAUCAAUACAAAUACUUCGGCAACACGACUAAUCUUAGAGUGCAUCUGACGACAAAACAUCCUAUACAAUGGGAACUUGCCCAAAAUGGUAGCCUGGACGAGUCGCUUUUCCGAAUUGAAGAAAAUGAAUCUACAAGCCAAACCACGUCAACGACAAAGAGGAGAAAAUACACACCGCGGGCAAAAAAAUGUACGUUAUUCAGUAUCAGUUAAUAAUGAAGAAAUGGAGGGACAUAUGCCUAAGAUCGAAAUCCAGCGGGUGGAUGUAUUGGAGAAUUCAGACAAUGAAUACAGAGAUGAAGACAAUGAUGCCACAAUUAAUCUGGUGAAACAGAUGCAUGCAACCCGAAACUCUGAUGAGGAGUGGCUAGAAGACGAUCCUUACCAAAUCACUCACAUUGAGACCUACGAACCGGUGAAUAACAAACAUAAGAAGAUGAAGUACAGGCGAGUGAAGAGGGAAGUACAAUCACCUACAGGUCUCCCUGGGUUCUACGUAGCACCAAAGCAAGAGAAGACAGUCGUCUACGAAGACAAGAUACAUGGUGACGAAUACUCUGUAUUUGGAGAAUAUGUUGCAAACAAAUUGAGGAAGUUCAAGACUCCACGAACCCGUGGAAACUUGCAGCAGUUAAUUACAACGAUUUUAUGGCAAGCAGAGUAUGGGAUGUACGAUCAUGCAGACUCGGUGAAAAGGGUCUUGAUGUACUCUGUACGAUCUCCUGAACCAGAACCUAGCACGGUAGACUACACUUCUCAUAUGCAAGUAGAGAGUGAGGAAGUCAUUGAACAGAAAGAGAUUCCAACUCAUAGCGUUGAGUCAGAAGGAGUGGACAUAGCAGAAUAAAAUGUUUUAUGGAUUUUUGUAAUAUAGCUUAUGCAUUUUAUUUGUAUAAUUUUAAGUAUGGAUAUAGAUGCAUUGUUUUAACUUUUAAUUAAAUUACCAAAUAAUAGCAAGGUUGAA
RNA transcript from Manduca sexta (tobacco hornworm), 1240 nucleotides. RefSeq lists it as uncharacterized. NCBI's taxonomy places the organism in Eukaryota, Metazoa, Arthropoda, Insecta, Lepidoptera, Sphingidae. The record is from RefSeq and is a predicted model, not a curated record. The transcript has 2 exons.